UGACGGUAGCUUACCAGAAAGGGACGGCUAACUACGUGCCAGCAGCCGCGGUAAUACGUAGGUCCCGAGCGUUGUCCGGAUUUAUUGGGCGUAAAGGGAGCGCAGGCGGUCAGGAAAGUCUGGAGUAAAAGGCUAUGGCUCAACCAUAGUGUGCUCUGGAAACUGUCUGACUUGAGUGCAGGAGGGGAGAGUGGAAUUCCAUGUGUAGCGGUGAAAUGCGUAGAUAUAUGGAGGAACACCAGUGGCGAAAGCGGCUCUCUGGUCUGUCACUGACGCUGAGGCUCGAAAGCGUGGGUAGCGAACAGGAUUAGAUACCCUGGUAGUCCACGCCGUAAACGAUGAGUGCUAGGUGUUAGGCCCUUUCCGGGGCUUAGUGCCGGAGCUAACGCAAUAAGCACUCCGCCUGGGGAGUACGACCGCAAGGUUGAAACUCAAAGGAAUUGACGGGGGCCCGCACAAGCGGUGGAGCAUGUGGUUUAAUUCGAAGCAACGCGAAGAACCUUACCAGGUCUUGACAUCC
Molecule: ribosomal RNA, 520 nt
Filed under: Streptococcus mutans
Lineage: Bacteria; Bacillati; Bacillota; Bacilli; Lactobacillales; Streptococcaceae
Description: bacterial SSU rRNA
Rfam family: Bacterial small subunit ribosomal RNA
Source: RNAcentral